Molecule: long non-coding RNA, 596 nt
Filed under: Pelobates cultripes (western spadefoot toad)
Lineage: Eukaryota; Metazoa; Chordata; Amphibia; Anura; Pelobatidae
Source: RNAcentral
AGUGAGAGCCAAAAAGAAAAGAACAGAUAAUUAAUCCAAAAAUAAUGAUGUUACAGACAUUGCUAUGCUGUGUAUUUCUGUGGACGUCAUGUAAGUUAAGGAAAAAUAUUUUCUUGUCUUGUUCUAGUUUUCUAUUUUAAAAUUGAUUUUGAUUCCUUUCUACCUUUACAGAUGUUCGCUCACAGACUCCAGUACUAAGUCCUCCAGUUGCAUCUGUUGGUUCUGGACAAAGCUUCACUUUUAAUUGCAUCGUAGGAGUCAAGGAUUCCAGUGGAAUGGCUUUCCUUAAACAAUCAGAGGGUGAAACUCCAAAGCUUAUUUUUGGCAACCAUCACUCACAUCAAUCUCCUAGGUAUGGACCCGGAAUGUCUUCAACCCACUACACUGGCUCAAUAAACAGCGCAGGAACUGAAUAUCAAUUAAUUAUUGCAAAUGCAGAUAUUACAGAUACUUCAUUGUAUUACUGUGCUAAGUGGUAUAAUAGUCUUAAUGGAUGGCACAGUGAUAUAAUGCAUGCCAAAAACCUGUUGAAAAGAAACUAGAGUAGAAAAACAGGAAGCUCUACUGCAAAAUACUAACACAUGCACGCCCUCCCC